RNAcentral lists this long non-coding RNA (502 nucleotides) under Gopherus agassizii (Agassiz's desert tortoise). RNAcentral's name for it is "lncRNA (ENSGAGG00000016080.1)". The record is from RNAcentral. Lineage: Eukaryota; Metazoa; Chordata; Testudines; Testudinidae.
CAGAGGUUGGAACCACUCAUUCCCUGGUUGUCCUGAGGAGCCAUGAUUUCUCUAGGAGCUGGGUAAAGGGCACCGGGAUCAGUCUGUCAAAGGAUUCCAGCCGGCUGUUCCAAUCCAGGAGGAAAACUGUGCCACCAAAGUCUCCCAGCACCUGUGCAGUGAAGUGCCACUUAACCCCACUGUGAUGCACAGACCUUGCCCUGGCUGGCUGCACAGGGCUGAAUUUCACCCCUUCGGAGUGUAUUCUAAGGGCCCCCCGUGCUUCUUAUGGGCAUUCUUGGGGGUGCAGAUUGCAUCAGAUCUGCACCUGAAUAAAUAAUAGGGAAUGAAAGUUCUCCAGCCAAAUUCUCAGAAACCUUCCUUUGCAAUGUAGGAUCAGGAUUUUGGUUUGAACUGAUUUUUUUAAAAAGUGCUGAGCAGAUGCUACCCUGUAAGAAGAGGAAACAGAAGCAAAAACUGACAGACUGUUACUAAAACCAAUGAACAGCUGCAGAGACUGGAG